GACUCGGAAGGACCCUAGGGUGUUGUCUUGGGGUACCCACCCCCGCCUUCCUGCUCAGAUUCUGGGUCCCACAUAGGACUGAACGUGCACAGGGCACCACAAAGCUUCAGACAGACCGCAAGAGGCAUGGAGAGAGAAGAGGAAGUGAAUUGGUGCAAGUGGGCGGGGAGCCCAGAAGAUGGCUGGCUCUUUGGCUUCUUCUCUCUUGGUGGGUUGUGGGUUCUCCCUGGAUCCCCAUCUUGGGCUGCUACCACACUAGUUACCUGCCUUGAAACCCACAUGGGCUUCUACUGUUCUAUGCAGAAGCAGUCAGCCUCACAUCUGAAUCUUCAUUGUCGGCAAAUUUGCAAAAGGUAGCCACUGGACAAGAAAGUGCACUUGCCUC
This is a long non-coding RNA of Peromyscus leucopus (white-footed mouse), 385 nucleotides long. RefSeq lists it as uncharacterized. The transcript has 3 exons. The record is from RefSeq and is a predicted model, not a curated record. NCBI's taxonomy places the organism in Eukaryota, Metazoa, Chordata, Mammalia, Rodentia, Cricetidae.